Long non-coding RNA from Balaenoptera musculus (blue whale), 449 nucleotides. RefSeq lists it as uncharacterized. NCBI's taxonomy places the organism in Eukaryota, Metazoa, Chordata, Mammalia, Artiodactyla, Balaenopteridae. The transcript has 4 exons. The record is from RefSeq and is a predicted model, not a curated record.
CGAGCCCGGAAGAGCGCCGUAGGUGAGGUCGCCAGCUAGCCGGAGCCGGCAACGUACAGCCCGGCAGGUCGCGCAGCCGCUCCCGGGCCGGGGAAUGGAAGGCAGAUACCCUGAGGCAGUAUCGAGGUCGGGGAAAACUCAUUUUGCAUCCAAAACAAGCCUAUCUUGAUCUGGUGAUAUUGCCGGGGCGGCUCCUCCGGACCCUGGCGCCUACGGGUCCAAAUACACCGAAGUCUAUACCGAAAAGAGAAAUCACUCUGAAGAUUACAGUCCAAACCUCUACUGUGGAUGUAGAAUGGAAUCUCCACCCAAGAAGGUGCAGCUGUUCAAUGUCAACCCUCCAGAGGUGAGAAAACAGGUCAGCAUCUGACCCAGGCCAGGCCAAAUAAAAUCCUUUCCCAGGUUUUAAAAAAUUGGACCAAAGGUAAGACUUUUAAUUGCUUUGUGGG